Molecule: long non-coding RNA, 531 nt
Filed under: Marmota monax (woodchuck)
Lineage: Eukaryota; Metazoa; Chordata; Mammalia; Rodentia; Sciuridae
Source: RNAcentral
CGGGCUCAAUUCUGGCUCCCAUCACCGCAAGUGAGCCACGGGUAUGCUUCUCUGUAGGGAACCAAGAGGUCAACUUCCUCUUAGAUACUGGUGCCAGUUAUUCUGUGCUCACCUCUUAUCCUGGACCUCUUUCCUCUAAUACUGUAACCAUACAAGGGGUGUCUGGACGGCCUAUUACCAGAAGGCUUACUCCCCCACUGAGUUGUGAGUGGGACGGGGUGAUGUUUUCUCAUGCAUUUCUGAUAGUCCCAGAAUGUCCUACCCCUUUAUUGGGAAGAGACUUACUUUCAAAACUUCAGACAUCCAUUACAAUGAAUUUAGGACCGGGAGGGCCAUUAUGUUUGCCUUUAUUAGAAUGUAAUAUAAACCCUGAAGUGUGGGCUACUGAAGGCAAAUUGGAUGGGCAAAAAGUGCAGUUCCAAUCAAAAUAGUAUUAAAAGACCCUUCUGUCUUUCCACAUCAGAGACAAUAUCCCCUAUACCCAGAGGCAAAAAAGGGCUUAUUGAAGAUCAUUCAGAACCUCAAACAACA